This 38245-nucleotide long non-coding RNA is filed under the name Vigna radiata. RNAcentral's name for it is "long non-coding RNA (VRAD_LNC010039)". The record is from RNAcentral. Lineage: Eukaryota; Viridiplantae; Streptophyta; Magnoliopsida; Fabales; Fabaceae.
CAAACAAAAGUCGAGCUUGGGAACCAAGCUAGUUGGGUCACGCUUCCUACUCGAAGCACACAAGGAACAAAUGUGAAAUUUGAAAUCUGAUUCGUAGUGGCUGGGCGCGCCAAGGUUUUGGCUGGGCGUAGAUUACAAUCCAGAAGGUAUUUUUCUUUGUAUUUCUAAUCUAGAAGCAUAGUUGCCAAAUCUAGAAAAUACUCCUUCUUCUCCCCUUUUUAGCUCCUUUGUUUUCCUUGGCUUUUCAAGCUUCUAGGGUGGUUCAACCAUGGUUUCAAGAAAAUCAAGAAAGAGCCUUUAAAAGUCCUUCUUUAACUUCUCUUUCUUAGCCUUAGCUUAAGUUGGUACUCCUUUGGAUGGCUUCCCUAGUUAGGUUUACAUCAAGAAACAUGUUAUAUUAGUUUGCAACCCAUAUCACAAAGAGAGAACAUAUUUCAUACAAGAUGAAAAGUUCAAUAAAAUACUUGUUCUUUCAUUGUAGAUAGUGGGUCAUGCUAUAAUUGUUGUAGUACUAGGUCGGUGGAGAAGUUGGCCUUGAUUUUCUGGCCCCAAUCUAAACCUUACUAUUGGAAACAAGAUGACUCAGUUUCAACACCAAGAGGAGGGGGGGGGGGUGAAUUGGUGAGGUUCAAAAAUUAGAGUCUUUUCAAAAUAUUUUUCGCAAAGUAUAAACCUUUACAAAGUUUCUUGAAUCGCAAAGAAUGAAAAGUUUAAGUGCAACAAAAAUGUAAAGUUGACUACGUAAACAGUGAAGUCGACUUAAUGUGAAAGUGUAAGGAUAGAGAAAUCAAACGCAGACUUUUUAUACUGGUUUAGCCUCAAUGCAUAGAUCAAGUGUCCUUCCACAACCAGGAAGCAAAUGCACUAUAAUGGUCAAUUUUUAUACAACAAGGCUUUUAUAGAGACCUCCACGUCAAAAAUAUAAAACACCUCUCUAACCCUCUAACCAAAAUAUAGGCAGCAACACAAAGAUCUACAGCAAGACAUUCGCUCUUCUGCAAUCUUAAACCAACUUUGAACAAUCCUCAAAGUGUCAAAACUCCACGAGUCCACCUCCUGUAAUCCCAACAGGAUAACAACAAUCUUUCCAAAGAUUGAUAGAAAUCUUGAUCAACUGAUGAACACCACAAUGUGCAGAAUAUGAUCAACCAGUAAGCACAUAAUUCUUUCUCCUUCAGAACCUCUUCAAAGAAAGAUCUCCACCAUCUUCUUGAUGAGUUCUUGGAGCAUUUAAUCACAGGAUCUCAAUCUGAAAUAGAAAAUGAAAAUGUUAGUUCAACCAAAGUCGUUGUGAUCAGCAGAGUCACGUCUAUUUAUAGUUUUCUAUAAAUCAGAUGCUCUUGUAGUCGAUUGUGUUACUAAUGUAGUCCACUGUCACUAGACAAUUAUAACAGAUAAGCAAAACAACAACGAUCAUAACAACCAAAUUGAUUUCGCAUUUAAUACAAUUGACUUUCAUUUAAUGCUUUAACAGACAAAUGAAAUAUAGUUGUUAUAGUACAAAAGCAUUAACAGAAUUUCAAAUCAAAUAACUAACUAAGUCGGAUCCACUGCGGAUGUAGUCGACUUAGACACUUCAAUUUAGUUUGAAAAUCCUUUCAAUGCAAAAUCACACAUAACACUACUUUUGAAAAUCUGUGCAUAGUCACGAGUUUUAAUCGACUUACUUCAUAAUGAAGUCGACUUAAAACUUGCAGUUAUACCACACAAUAUAAGUUCAUCAAAGUGCAUGUGGUUUUCUUUUCAUAAACAUAUGCAAUGCAAUCAUAAGUGAUGUAUCUGAUAUAAGAUCAAUGAAUAUGCAUUCAUAUAUGAGAAUCAACACAAACAUGUUCAUUAAAAUAUCAUCCACAAUAAAGAAUAAUACAUGUAACACAUAACAAUACAUGUGUUAUUAAUAAUGUGUUGUCAUCAUCAAAAACCAGAGUACUAUGAGAUUAAGGUUCAGCUAAACCAGUGCUUCCCUUAUCAACAAUCUCAACAAUCUCCCCCUUUUUUGAUGAUGCACAACUAUGAUUAAUAACAAAUCAUAUUUGUACACAAACAACACAUAAAAUCAGUCAAGUAAUCUCUAAAAUCAGAGCUAACAUAAGCAAUCAGUAAGAACAAGUGAUUAAAUGAUUUUUCCAAUAUAUCAGAGCAAACAAAAGAUAAUUACAACAUGAUUUUGUUGGUUGGUAUCAGGAGAGAGUAUAACGCAGCGGAAUAAAACUUAAACUAGCGGAAAUUGUGUUCGGUCACUUUUUAAAUUAAAAUGGUCAGUUUUUAGAAAUAAAUUUUUUAAGAGAAAAUUUAUCAAACAGUUGAUGUGCAAAUAAAAAAUAAAGAGUGUAGGGAGUAGAAAAAUUACACAAGUAAUUUUUAUACUAGUUCGAUUCAAAAGAAUCUACGUCCAGUCGUUAAUCACUAUAAAAAGUGAUUAACAGUUUCACUAAAAACAGUUUUACAGAUUACAACAGUAAUGAAUAAAAAUAUGAUUAAACCUUCCUUCGACGAAUAAACCGGAAGAUAAACACUCUGCCCAGCCGAAGAGAACCGCUUCGACUAUCGACACACGAAACGCAAGCUUCUCCUAUUCACGAGACCAAGCAAGGGAACUUGAACUAUAGCUUUUGAGAACUUCCUCUGACAAACAGUAUUCUCUAAGAGCUUUCUGUUCAACAACGUUACUUCUGAAGUUCUCAGACGACCAAUAUAUAACCAGCCAGUCUGAAUAUCAAAGGUCAAGUCCCAACUGCCAGUAAUAAUCGAUUAUUGUAAGUGAUAAUCGAUUAUUCAAGUCCGUUAUAGGUUUUGCAAAAAUAACUUAGGCAGUUUUAAAAACAGACCUGGUAUAAUCGAUUAUUUGGAGUGAUAAUCGGUUAUUCCUAAAAGACUCAUGAUAAUCGAUUAUUGCUCCUCAUAAUCGAUUAUUUCAGUACAUUAUCUAAAAUACAAGUUUUACAAAUUUUGAGGACUUUCCUACUACAUUCAUAUUCUACAAAUUGCUUUUAAAAAAUAUCUCAAAUAUCUUCUUCAGGUUAAACUUCUUGUAGCAUCAUCAAAACAAUUUACUUCAAGAUUUACCAAUGCUCCUCAUUGGUAACAAUCUCCACCUUUUUUAUGAUGAUCAGAAAUUCAAGUUUUAAAAGGAACUUUGGCCUUCUUGCAAAACAUACUAAGCUAACAAACAAUAACAGAGUUAGUAAUACCUGUAUCAACUUAUAUUAUACUUCUCCCCCUUUUUUAUCAUAAGCAAAAAGAUCAAUGUAAAGAGCUUCCCCUUAAUAUGAUCUCCCCCCUCAAUUAAACAAUGUAUGGAUGAAAAACGAAAAGAUCAUAUUAUUCAUAAAGGAAAGGAGUACAUUAGCAUCACAAAGAGAAACAUACUAGCAACAAAAACAUAGAAGCAUCAACAAUCAAACGACAAAACAUACUAACAUAGAAACCUAUCUCUAAAACUCAGGGCUAGGGGAUCUCUCAGGUGGUUGAAUGUUUAGAUGAGUUUCAAUGUUGGUGAGGCGAACAUCAAGAUCAAGAAAUUGAUCAACCACGUAUUCGUCAUGAGCUUGCUGCCACUCAUAAAUUUCUUCAAAGUGAGUUUCCUAUGCUAGACUCAAUUCCUCUAAUUGCUUAGAUAAUCUAGCAAAAUUUUCUUCCAUGGUAAGUGAGGAGGAUGAGGGCAUGUUAGAAGGAGCAGCAUCAGAAGGAGGAGCAGCACUAACUGGUUCUGCCAUGUGAGUAUCCAUGUCAUCUUCUUCACCAGAAUCUGAAUGAUCAUCAUCUUUAUGAAUAACUACAUUUCCCCGAGUAACAAAUCCCAUUUGGUGUAAAGUGGUGUCUCUAAUCUCAAAACCAAUAGCUUGAAGUGCUUGAACAUGUUCUCCUUCCACAUUAACACCUUUGUAUUCUAGAAUUCUAGAGAUGAGAUGAGCAUAAGGAAAAUUAUAAGAGCAAUAUUUCUUAGCUUUUACCAUGGUGUUAGCAAUAAGAGUAGACCAAUCAAUAUGUAUGUGAUUUAAGAUCCCAUACAGAAGAAGCAGAUCUUGCUCAUAACAUUGAGCAUGGUUUGUGGCUCUUGGACACAAUAUCCACACAAUUAAGUAGUGGAUCGACCUCUCUUCAACUUUAAAACCACCAACAAGCAGUUGCCUACGGUUGGUCUGCUGUUCAGGAUGGCGCAAAAAAGAUUGAAAGGCCAGUAGUCGGUUGAAGUCUGGAUGAACUUUCACAACAUCAUCCCAGAUGGUAAGUUGAGCAACGUUGGUCCACACGUCAUCAUCCAAAAUUAUGCGGUCGCCUUUGACUUUGGUUGAUAUAAUCCCAUCUCGAUAUCUUAAGUUGAAGUAGAAGACUCUUAUGAGAUCGGGAUAAAUGCAACCUUUUUGCUCCACUAAGUUUGUGAGACCUUGACCACCAAAAAGAUCCGAAAACUGAAAUCCGUAGAAACGAUAAAAGUCAAGGAGAAUAUACUUUACCGCCAUGAUUCGCCUCUCUUGUCAAGGAUUGACAUAAUCCUCAUGCUUUUCUUGAUCCGAAAUCCACCCAUCAAUGGUUGCAGGACGUGGUUCAGAAGAAGAAGAUGCAACAGCAGCUCUGCGGCGAUGUCUUCUUGGUUCAGCCAUGGAAGGAGUUUGAAGUAGUGAGACUUUGAGAAAGUGAAGAGAAAUGAAGAGAUUUUGCUUUAGAUUUGAUUUCAGCAGUUUCUGGGUGCAAAGGAGUGACCAUUAAUCGAUUAUAGGAGGCUAUUUAUAAGGGAAAUCAGAAAACUAGCCGUUUAUAGCCGUUUAUGGCCAUUAUAGAGCUCUCAUACGGCUCUAUUUUUGGAACUGUGCGCGUGAUAAUCGAUUAUAGUUAGUGAUAAUCAAUUAUUAGUUCAUCAGUCACUUACCAGAAAUUGCACAAUAAUCGAUUAUGCCUGAAGAUAAUCGAUUAUUUGUUCAUAAUUUUCCAGAUUUGAGUUUGAGUUUGAAUAAUUGAUUAUUCCAUGAGAUAAUCGAUUAUUUGCAAUUAAGGGAUUCCUAAAAGCCAAAAUUAAUCGAUUAUUACCUUGUGAUAAUCGAUUAAAAACGCUAAUCUUGCAAAAAUUUAAAAAUUUUCAUAAGCUUUGAUCCUAAGACAUAUAUAACACUCUUAGCUUUCUUCUAAACUCAAAAUCUAUCCUUAGGCAGUGCCUUUGUGAAAAUAUCAGCUAAUUGAUGUAAGGUAUCAAUAUAUUCAAUUUGACAAUCUCCCUUUUGAAUAUGGUCUCUUAAGAAAUGAUGUCUAAUCUCAAUGUGCUUAGUUCUUGAAUGCAUUAUCAGGUUCUUAGUUAGAUUUAUAGCACUAGUAUUAUCACAUUUUAAUGGAAUAUGAUCAAGGAAGAUCUCAAAGUCUUCCAGUUGUUGUUUCAUCCACAGAAUUUGGGCACAACAAUUGCCAGCAGCAAUAUAUUCAGCUUCAGCGGUAGACAAAGCUAGACACACUUGUUUCUUUGAUUGCCAAGACACUAAAGAACAACCUAGAAAAUGACAGGUUCCACUAGUACUUUUUCUAUCAAUUUUACAACCCCCAUAAUCUACAUAAGAAUAACCUAUUAAACUAGGUGAAGCACCAGAGGGAUACCAAAGUCCAAAAGACGUAGUUCCCUUAAGGUAUUUUAAGAUUCUCUUGACAAUAGUCAAAUGAGAUUCUUUAGGUUUGGCUUGGUUCCUAGCACACACAUACACUUUGCAUAAUAUCUGGUCUACUAGAAGUUAGGUACAACAAAGAUCCUAUCAUACCUCUAAACAUAGUUUCAUUUACUCCUUCUCCAGAUUCAUCCUUAUCUAAAUAACAUGAAGUUGCCAUAGGUUUAUUUGCCUCUUUACAAGUAUCCAUACCAAAUUUCUUAAGAACUUCCCUACAAUACUUUGUUUGGGAGAUAAAAGUACCUCCAUUCAUUUGCUUUAUUUGUAAUCCUAAGAAGAAAUUUAGUUCAUCCAUCAUAGACAUCUCAAACUCACCUUGCAUUAUUUUUGCCAAUUCUUCACACAGAAUUAUCAGUAGACCCAAAUAUAAUAUCAUCUGCAUAAACUUGCACAAUUAGGAUGUGUUUAUCUCCUUCCUUAAUAAAUAAGGUUGAAUCAACCUUACCUCUAGAGAAGUCAUUAUCAAUUAAGAAGGUACUAAGUCUUUCAUACCAAGACCUAGGUGCCUGUUUAAGAUCAUACAGAGCCUUUUUCAAUUUGUAAACAUGAUCAGGAUAUUUGAAAUCCUCAAAACCAGGAGGUUGACUUACAUACACUUCCUCUUUUAUAAAACCAUUUAAAAAAGAACUUUUUACAUCCAUUUGAUAUAGUUUAAAUUUCAUCAAAGAUGCAUAUGCAAGUAAUAAUCUAAUUGCUUCUAACCUGGCUACUGGUGCAUAUGUUGCAUCAUAGUCUAUACAACUAGCCUUGCUUUGUUCUUUGUGAUGUUUCCAUCCUUAUCAAGCUUGUUUCUAAAUACCCAUUUUGUUCCUAUGACUUGAUACUCAUCUUGCUUAGGAAUAAGUUCCCAAACUUCAUUCCUUUCCAAUUGAUUUCGCUCUUCUUGCAUAGCAACAAACCACUUAUAAUCUUGAAGAGCUUCCUUUAUGUUCUUGGGUUCUAUUUGAGACACAAAAGCUACAGUUAAACAGAAAUUAUUAAGAUUGUGUCUAGUAGUUACCCCUUUUGAUAUAUCUCUAAUGAUGUUGUCCAAAGAUAGUCCUCUUGGUUGUUAAUAGCUUUUAGAAUCAACAACUAGAGGUGUUUCUCGUUUAGAUGCAUAUCUUCAAGAGCUUCCCUUAAAUAAUCCUCAUCACCUGCAAUAGGUUUAUUUAACUCAAGAGGAUUUAACUCAAUGUCCACAAUCUCAUCAAAGACAACAUUCAUUGAUUCUUCAAUUAUCAAAGUUCUUCUAUUGAAUACUCUACAUGCUUUGCUAGUCAAAGAAUAUCCUAGGAAAAUUGCUUCAUCAGAUUUUGCAUCAAAUUUACCAAGAUUAUCUUUACCAUUAUUCAAGACAAAGCAUUUGCGUCCAAAAACUUUCAAGUGAGCCACAUUUGGUUUUCUACCAUUUAACAAUUCAUAAGAAGUUAAUUUUAAAAUUGGCCUAAUAAGCAUCAUGUUCAACACAUAACAAGCAGUACUAACUGCAUCAACCCAAAAAUAUUUUGGCACAUUAGAUUCAUUCAUAAGCGUUCUAGCUAAUUCUUCUAACGAUCUAUUUUUCCUUUCAACAACACCAUUUUGUUGGGGAGUUCUAGGUGCAGAAAAGUUAUGUGCAAUGCCAUAUUCUUCACAAAAUUUUUCAAAAGAUUCAUUUUCAAAUUCACCACCGUGAUCACUUCUCAAGGUUUUGAUUUUCAAAUCUUUUUCAUUUUGAAUACGUUUAGCAAAAGAUUUAAAAGCUCUAAAGGCUUCACUUUUCAAAGUUAAAAAGAAAGUCCAAGUAAAUCUAGUAUAAUCAUCGAUAAUUACAAGAACAUAGUAAUUUCCACCAAAACUUUUAAUUCUGGACAGACCAAAUAAGUCCAUAUGCAACAGUUCUAAAGGUUUUGAAGUAGAAAUCAUUCUUUUGGAUGAAAAUGAAGAUUUGGUUUGUUUACCUUUUUGACAUGCAGAGCAUAAUUUGUCUUUCUUAAAUUUCAGUUUAGGCAAACCAAUUACAAGAUCUUUUGAAAUUAGUUUAUUCAGAUGUUGCAUAUGAAUAUAUGCAGCUCUUUUAUGCCAUAACCAAGGAUUGUCCUCUUUAGCAACUAAUCAUGUUAUACUAUGACUAGAUGUACUUUCAAUAUCAAUUAGAUAAAUAUUGUUAUGCCUAACACCUUGCAAAGCAAUAUCAGUAGAAUCUUUAAAAUAUGCAGUGCAUUUAUCACUUUCUAAUGUUACCUUGAGACCUUUGUCACAUAAUUGACUUAUGCUGAGGAGAUUAUGCUUGAGGCCUUCAAAAUACAGGACAUCUCUUAUAGUCAAUGUGUUUCCUCCUCCAAUGUCUCCGGUACCCAUGAUUCUACCUUUGUUGUUAUCCCCAUAAGUUACAAAUCCUUGCUUUUUCUUCUCAAAAGAGAUAAAACUUUUCUUGUCAUCGGUCAUGUGUCUUGAACAUCAACUGUCAAGAUACCACAAUGACUUCUUUGACUUAGUAGGUUCUUGACUUCCAGUAUCUUCUGAGUCACCCAUUAGACAUAUAUUUGCUUCUUCAUCUGAAUCACUUGAGCUUGUUGAGCUAGAUGCAUUGUCUUCCCAAGCUAUGUAAGCUUUCUUUUUCUUUGGAAACUUUCUUUCCUUCUUUUCUUCACUUUUCUUGCUUUUUGGACAUUCAGUUUUCAUAUGUCCUCUUUCUCCACAUCCGUAGCAUUUAACACUUGAAGGAGAUUCUUGAUUUUCUCUCCUUUCUUUAUGAAAUUUGUCCUUACUUUUUUCUUUCAUAAACUUAGCAAAUUUCUUUAUCAUGAGAUUCAUGUUCUCCUCAUCAUCAGAAUCAUCAUCUUCAAACUUUUUAGAGCUCUUGCCUUUCGAGAUCUCGAAUUUGAAGGCAAGUGUCUUCCUUUUACCUUGAUCCUCUUCAGUAGGUAAUCUUUUUAGUUCAAGCUCAUGCUCACGAAGCUUUCCAAAUAGAAUUGGCAUCGUCAUUUGAGAGAGAUUUUGUGACUCCGAAAUGGCAGUCACCUUUGGUUGCCAAGACCUAUCCAAUGAUUUCAAAAUUUUGACAUUUAAUUCAUCAGUAUCAAAAGUCUUACCCAAACCAGUCAAGUGGUUCACUAUAUGAGUGAAAUGCUUUUGGACAUCAAAAAUAGUUUCUCCAGGUUGCAUUCUAAACAUCUCAUAUUCCUGGAUGAAAGUGUUCUUCCUUGCACGUUUCACGUCCUCUGUACCCUCAUGUGUGACUCUGAGGAGUUCCCACAUUUCCUCUGCUGUCUUACACACUGAAAUUCUAUAAAAUUCAUCAAGUACAAUAGCAGAUGAAAUAAUGUUACGAGCUUUAAUAUCAAACUCAGCUCAUCUAUUUUCUUCAGCAGUUCAGUUAAAAUAUGGUUUUUCUACCUCUACACCAUCAACUGUACUUUUAGGAAUAAAGGACCAUUUUGUACUACUUCCCAGAUGCCUUUGUCAACAGACCCCAUAAAGAUUUCCAUUCUGACUUUCCAGAAUGCAAAACUAUCACCAGUAAAAAGUGGUGGUCUAUUAAUAGAAGCACCCUCGGCAUAUACAAGUAUUUGAUUAUGACCGGCCAUUUUUGCAAAUUUUGAAAAACUAUCAAAGCAAGCUUUGAUACCAAUUGUUGGUUGGUAUAAGCCAGAGAGUAUAAUGCAACAGAAUAAAACUUAAAGUAGCGGAAAGCGUGUUCAGUCACUUUUUAAAUUAAAAUGGUCAAUUUUAGAAAUAAAUUUUGUAAGAGAAAAUUUAUCGAACAAUUGAUGUGCAAAUAAAAAAUAAAGAGUGUAGGGAGUAGAAAAAUUACACAAGUAAUUUUUAUACUGGUUCAAUUCAAAAGAAUCUACUUCCAGUCAUUAAUCACUAUAAAAAGUGAUUAACAGUUUCACUAAAAACAUUUACAGAUAACAACAGUAAUGAAUAAAAAUAUGAUUAAACCUUCCUUCGACGAACGAACCGGAAGAUGAACACUCUGUCAACUCGAAGAGAACCGCUCCGACUAUCGACACACGAAAAACGAGCUUCUCCUAUUCACGAGAACAGGUAGAGCACCUUGCUAACUCGAAGAGAACCGCUCCGACUAUCGGCACAUGAAACGCGAGCUUCUCCUAUUCACGAGACCAAGCAAGGGAACUUGAACUAUAGCUUUUGAGAACUUCCUCUAACAAACAAUUUUCUGUAAGAGCUUUCUGUUCAACAAAGUUACUUCUGAAGUUCUCAAAAGUCCAAUAUAUAACCAACCAGUCUUAAUAUCAAAGGUUAAGUCCCAACUGCCAAUAAUAAUCGAUUAUUGUAAGUGAUAAUCGAUUAUUCAAGUCCGUUAUAAGUUUUUCAAAAAUAAUUUAGGCAGUUUUAAAAACAGACCUGUGAUAAUCGAUUAUUUGGAGUGAUAAUCGAUUAUUCUUGAAAGACUCGUGAUAAUCGAUUAUUGCUCCUCAUAAUCGAUUAUUUUAGUACAUUAUCUAAAAUACAAGUUUUACAAAUUUUGAGGACUUUCCUACUACAUUCAUAUUCUACAAAUUGCUUUUAAAAAUAUCUCAAAUAUCUUCUUCAGGUUAAGCUUCUUGUAGCAUCAUCAAAACAAUUUACUUCAAGAUUUACCAAUGCUCCUCAUUGGUAACAGAUUUAGCAUAGUUACUCUGAAUAAACAGUAUCAAGCAACCACAUAUCAAGCAAAAUAAGUAGAUAAUUAAUCAAACUUUUCAAGCUUCUCAAACUUUUCUCCCCCUUUGUGAAUUGGCAAAAAAGGUUUGCUUUUAGAUAUGGAUAUGCUAAUAAAAUGAAAUACCAGAGAUGCAUCAGUGUAAAUUAAUGUAAACUAAUUAAACAUUCAAAUAUGCUCCCCCUAUCACAGAUAUUCACAUGAGAUAGAUAAACUCCCCCUAAUGUGUAGGCAUGUGAAAAAUCUAUGCAAUCAAGUAAUUUAAUAUUCAUCCAAGCAGAUUCAAUCAAGAAAUUUAGAGCUAAUGAAUUUGAACCAAAAAAACUAAUUUCAUUACUAGUCCAAAAGAUAUUACAAUGAUUAACUGGAACAAGACAAGCGUAAUGACAGUCUAAGCCAUUCUUAAAAGAAAAACUAAAAGCAAAGACACAAUUAAUUUUUCUUUCACUUUUUGUUAACAAAAUCACUAAGAACCAUUUAACUCCUACAAUCAUCAAUAUUCUCAUCUUCAGUACAUUCAUCUGUAAUCCUUUUUGAAGAUGAAUCAGGAGUGCAUUCUUCUUCAGAUUCUUCAUCAUUCAACUCAGUAUUCACUUUAGUUGACUGAGAAUUGUCUCUCAAUUCUUCAAGCAUCUUUCUUAAUGCUUUUAAUUCCCUCAACACAAUCCUUUCAAAUUCUGAUCUUGCCCUAUAGUGAGUAGCUUCAGCUGAUUAUGGUUCAUUAUCAUUGUUUGGAGCUUCAUUCUCAAACACUCAACCUUCAGGUGUUUUCAACAUCUGCAUUAAGUGCAGAGCAGAUUUGUCAAUAAGACUUUCUGUUGUAUGACUCACUUGACUCGCCUAUGCAAUCAAUUCCAAAGUGGAUUAGAAUCUUUGAGAUAAAAACACAGUAUAGCAAUUUUGCAGAUUCUAGUCUUGUGACUUUCAACAUAUUGUCCGAUAUUGCUGCAGGCCAAUCUACUUGAAUAUUUUCCUUAAGUGCUUUCAGCAAAAAUAAGUCUUCAGUAGUAGCUUGGGCGUGAUUUCCUCCCAUUGGCAUUAGGAUCCAAGAGAUGACAAAGGCUGCAAGUUGAUCAUUUAUUUUCAUUCUCCCAGUCUUGUAAUUUGAAUAGUCUUGACAGUCAUCUGGAUUUCUCAGACAAUCCUGAUAAACUAUAAACUUAUGGAACCCCUCAAUGCCCAGAUGGCAUUUUUCUCCUUCUAUCCGGAGUCCUGCUAACUCUGACCAUACUUCAUUUGUAAGUUUGAUCUCGACCCCCUUCACUCUUAAACAAAGAGUAUCCUCUUCAAUCCUCAGAUUGCAAUACAAGACUUUAACUAGGUCUGGAUACCAGGGACUUGCCAUUUCAACAAACUUCUUCAACCCCUAUCGUUUCCGCCAAUCCUGAAAUUCAAAUCCUUCUUCUUUGAAGAAUCUCAACUUUGGAAACUUAUGAGUAAUCAGGCUUCUCAUCUUCCAUCAAUCUAGAAAUUUCGUCUGCAUUUCAUCAUCGUUAAUCCAUCCAUUUAAAUCACAGACACGUCUCAAAUUCUUCUGACCGAUAGAUUUCACUCUCUUGCAUUGAGCUUAGCUGGAGGCCAUUUCUUGUGAGUGAAGAAAGAAAGCUUAGAUUGAAACAGAGAGAAUGUAGUGAUUUUGAGAAUACUGUGAUGUUUAGUGAUAUAUUACGUAGAGAUUAGGUUAUAUACUAAUCCUAAAUCAAAUUUGGAGGGAACAAAUUCGUAAAAACAAUUUGGCACAAAACGAUUUAAUUGAAAUUUGAAUUUUGACAACACAGUGAAAACAAAGUCAAUUUUGAUAAAAACCAAGUUGACUACUAUAUGACAUGAAGUUUCCAAAACAGAUACAUACAUACAGAGACACAUAUUCGACUAUGCUCAUAAUCAAGUUAUUAUAGUUCGAAAAAUUUGAUUUUCACACAAAUCAUUCAGACAAUCAAUCAUACAAUCAUCAAACAAUCAUAUGUCAAACAAUCAAUCUUUUCAUGCAUAAUGCAGUAAGAUAAUACAUGUUACCAGUUAUAGACACUCAAGAUGGUUGAAAUAGCCAUGUUAGUUCAUCCUUGAGUUCUCACUGCACCUGUUUCAAAUCCUGCAAAACAGUUCAAGUUUUUGAUACAGGUACCCAUUUAAAUUUGGGUCUUUGAUUGUCAAUUGUAGCCAGAUAUUCAUUAGGUAUCCACACGUAUAAUCCUUUAGGAACUCCAACUCUUCUGUAAUAACAAUUUCUAAUAGUGUGACCAAUACUAUUACAAUAAAAGCAAGCAUGUUUAACAGGUUUGCUUAAAUCAGAGAAUUUCCUUGUAUUGGUUCUAUUAGAAUUAGCUUUAUAACCAAUGUCUUGUCUGUUAAUUGCUCUACCAGUAGAUUUUAAUGCAGCAUUCAAAUUAUCUCUACCCUGUGUAAAUUUGGCUAGCGUGCUAGUCAAGUAAUCUAUUUGUUUUGCAUGAGUAGGGCAUUUUUCACAUUCUUUCUCUACUGUAAUAGUUUCAAUUUUAACCUUCUUAGCAGAUAAUAAGGCUUCAUUUAACUCUUUCUACAGUUUCUCAUUAUCAGCGACAAGAUUAUUAAUCCUAUGUUCAUAAUCUUUUCUAUCAGAGUUAAGUCGAUUAGCCUUGUACUGGAGUCACAUAGCUUCAACAUGAAUUUCUUUGAAGGCAUCCAACAAUAGGUCGUAUUUGACUUUUACCGGUUCUUGCUCAAACUCUGUGUCACUGUCGUAGUCAGCAAAUGAUGCCCCAGUCAUAUAGCAGAUGUUUGAUUCCUCAUCAUGAUCAACAUCUUCAUCACUUAAUGUAUCAGAAUCAUUGUUUUCCCAUGCAAUAUAAGCUCCUUUCUACUUUCUGGUUUUGUCCUGAGGAAACUUUCUAUUGGCUUUCUACUUCGGCUUCAGGUCUGGACAAUCUGGUUUGAUGUGUCCUUCUUUCCCACAUUCAUAGCAUUGAAUAGCACUUGACCUGAAAGCUUUCUUGGCUUUGCUGUAACCUGCAUGGUUAGUAAGUUGACUGUUAUUUUUUAUAAGUCAAUUAAAUUUCCUUACCACCAUGGUCAUCAAUUCAUUGUUGUCCGUCUCAGCAUCUGAAUCAUCCUCUUACUUUGAGGCUUUCUUGAUUGUUACUUUUAGUGCAAUGGACUUCUUCUCUUCAAUCUCUUCUUCGUCCUUCAAUCUUCCAAGUUCCAGCUCAUGCUCUCUUAAUUUUCCAAACAAUGUAGCCAUGUUCGUGCUGGUCAGAUCUUUGGACUCAAAGAUUUCUAUGACUUUGGGUUGCCAGUUUCUGUUCAGACUUUUCAGUAUCUUGAUAUUGAUUUCUUCUUUGUCAAAACUUUUCCAAGAGCCAUAAUAUGAUUUACUAUAUGAGUGAAUUUUUUCUGGACUUCAUAGAUUUUUUCACCAGUCUUCAUCCUAAAAAGCUCAUACUCUUGAAUCAAUGAAUUGUUUCUUGCUCUCUUGACUUCAUCAGUGCCCUCAUGAGUGACUUCCAAGACAUCCCACAUUUCCUUAGCAGAUUUGCAUUGAGCUAUCCUGAAAAAUUCAUUAACAGUUAGUGUAAAGGCAAUGAUAUUUCUAGCUUUGACAUCAUAUUGUGCUUUCCUAUUCUCUUCUUGAGACCACUCAGAAAAAAUUUUCAAAACAAUUUUUCCAUCAAUAAUUUGAGUUGGCUCAAAAGGACCAUUCAAACCUGCAUCCCAAAUUCCUCUAUCCACGGAUUCAAGAAAAAUUUUCAUUCUAAUUUUCCAAAAAGGAUAAUUUUCACUCGCAAACAGUGGUGGUGUUUUUGUAGAUGCACCAUCACAAAAAGUUUGAAAACUAGAAGCCAUUAUCCAGGAAUAUAGUCAAUUCAAGGAAAACAGAAGUCGACUAGUUAGGUUUACCAUCAGAAACAUGUUAUAUUAGUCUGCAACCCAUAUCACAAAAACAGAACAUAUUUCAUACAAGAUGAAAAGUUGAAUGAAAUACUUGUUCUUUCAUUAUAGAUAGUGGGUCAUGCUAUAAUUGUUGUAGUACUAGGUUCGUGGAGAAGUUGACCUUGAUUGUCUGCCCCAAUCUAAACCUUACUUUAAGUUUUUUGGUUUAAUUGAUUAUAAAAAAAAAAAGAGAAUGGAUUAUACUAUUUUUUUGAUUAACUUUUUCAGGUUAGAAUAAAAUAAAUUUGUGAAUACAUUAUAUGAAGUACUCAACCAGGUUAGAAUAAAUACAUUGUAAAAACUUAACAAUAGAUCUUCAUCAUCUUCAAACAUUAUAGAAACUUCUUCAUUGCAUAACUUGAGUCUUCCCUUUAAUUUCAACAAAAAAAUAUAGGUUUAAUACCUAUUUUGGUCCCUUUUUUGGGAGAGUUUGUUCAAAGUGGUCUUCCCUUUUUAAAAAAGUUCACUAAAGUCCUACAUUUUGCAAAAACUGAACAAGUUAGUCCUUUUUACUUACGGCGUUAAUUUUUUAACGACAGAGCUGUCCAGUUGGCAAAUGUUUGAUGAAGUGUAAAAUGUUUGAUGAGUUGUCCAGCAAAACAAAUUCCAAGCAGUCUUAAUUUCUCCAGCUUUGACCCUCAAAGACUCAUUGUUCAUCAUCUCUUUGAUUCUCUUAGCAAUCUCCUUCCCUUCCACCACCUUCUGUGUCCCCCACCCCCAUUCCUCAGCCCAAAUCUCAACCACACUCAUCCUAACCACCUAUGCAUUAAACUUCUGAUCUGCACCCUGAGGCCAUAUCAAAAUAUUCACUCCAUCCCUUAUAUUCUCAGUUACCGAAUUCCAACCUCCACGAGUCACAAACCCUCCAACUACAGGGUGCCCCAGAAUCUUUGUCUGGUCCACAAACUCCUUCACAACCACACCCUUCUCCCUCACCUUACGCAUCAACUCACUCCCCACCACAUCCUCCAAAUCCUCCUUCUCUUCUCUGUCAACCCUCGUCAACUUCACCACCCACAGGAAACUACACCCACAUUCUAUUAACCCCAAAGCCAUGUCCUUUAUCUGCUCUCUCCUUGUCUCAGUUCUGUUCCCCAAGCUAACAUACACCACCGACCCUUCAGCACAUUCAUUAAGCCACUCCAGUAUCCAACUCAUGCAACCCUUUUCACCUUCAUCUACAUUCUCAAACUCACACGUCAUUAAGGGAGCAAUUCCAUAUACCGAGGGCAGCCUUCUAACCACUUCUCCUUCAUUCAACGCUGCCAGUGCCUCUCCUUCCAGUUCCUCAAACGAGUUGAUGAAAACCCCAUUGUGCUUCUUAAGGUUGCGACCGUCCUCCAUGAUCAUUCUCUGAAAGGAGUUGAUACCUUCAAGAAGAAAAGGGGGAGGGACCGAGGAUCUUGGUAUUGGUAAUGUGAUACCCAGGAUAUGAAUAGCAUCACCAAAUGCGGACAAAUCGCCCACUGGAUUAAAGUGCUUUGAAGGUGAUUGAUGAACCCUAAAUCGCCCACGAAAAUCCCAAUUGCAAUUGGAAAUUUUACCCAAAUUGUUUCUGAUCACUUCACUUAAUUAUACCCAAAUACCCCAAAUUCAAUUUUUAUUUUAAUCCUAACUUUAUUAAAUUCCACGUCACAAUUAGUUUUUUUUUUAACACAUUACAGUGCCACCUCAUCAAACUUUGUCAGCUGGGCAACUCUGCCGUUAACAAAAUUAACGCCGUAAGCAAAAAGGACUAAUUUGCACAGUUUUUACAAAACGUAGGACUUUAGUGAACUUUUUAAAGAAGGGAGGACCACUUUGAACAAACCCUCCCAAAAGAGGAACCAAAAUAGGUAUUAAACCAAAAAUAUACAAGUUUUAUAUGUUCACAAAAAAAUUAAUCUUUACUGUGUUUUGGAUUGGGACACGUUGUUUAAUUUCCUAUACUGUUUGAAAAAAUGUUAAAUUUACCCUUAGACAUAUUCUUUUGUGGUCUGGAAUAAGUUAAAACUAGAUUUUUAUCUUGUGAUUUGAAAGUUCCGGUUUAAAUUGUGCAAAAACUUUGCCAAUAGUAAGAGAUAGAUUAUGCUUAUUUAUCUUGGUAGAAGAUCGAAGUCUCGUCCUUAAUUUUUAAAAAUAGAUUACACUUACUUUUGGAGAGGUAAAAACCAUACAUCAACACAAUGUUCAUAUGAUUUGAAUAGGUUUUGAUAUAUAUUAUUAUCAUGAUUAUUUUGUAUUUUAGUUAACUGUUUAUGUACGUAUUCACUAACAUCUAUCUAUAUAAAAUAAAAAAUAUUUAAAAAAAAUCAAUAAAAUUGCAAUAAAUAAAAAGUUCAUAGAUUUCUAUCCUAACACUUGUGCAUUGACACGGAUUAAUUAUUACACCACUUAACAUAAUACCAUCAAGAACAUGGAUCAAUUAUUAUAUGGUUGUUCUAUCUUAAUCAAUGGUUAUGAGUUUGAAUAAUUCUAUCAGUUGGAUUGGAUUUGUCUAAGAUACACAUACGUGUUUCAAAAAUAUUCUAUUUAACAUAUCAACAAAACCUAUACUUGUAAUAUUAACAUACAAUAGUAUUAUUUCAAUAAACUGAAUAAUCUAACAUUACUUAAGAUUUUUUAAAGACAAAAUCAAAACACAAUAUUUCAAAUGAGGUGAUUUCUCCCUAAUAAGAGCUUGGAUUGGAAGAGGUACUAUUGCUUAAGUAAUUUGAAUGUAAUGAAUGUAAAUAUACUAAUUAGGUAAUAAUAAUUUUAAAAAAGUAUUCUUUGACACACCUAACUUUUUUACAUUCAUUUGAUACUAUUCUUUUCUACUUUUUACUCUCUUCUUUCUUGAAAAAAUACAAAAUUUUAUACUUUUAUGACUAUUUUAGCCUCAUAUUCUGUGUCAAAUCAAUAUAAAAGUAUGUCAUGGUAUCAUUGUUCAUAUAUAACUUUAUAAAGAGUUACAACAAAAAUAAUACUUUAACUUUUAAUAUUUAAAUAACACGGUAGAUUUUAUUUAAUAUUUAUUAAGGAUGAAAGGAUAAUUUUGAAAGAAAAAAUUGAAACUCAAUUGAAUGUUUUCAUCAUGUGGACGUGGAUGUAUCAGUGUCCAAGUUACAAUUAACACAAAUGGUAUAGGCUGAUAAGCCUCUAGAUAUAAGGUAAUUGAGGAUAACGUUCUAAAUAUGGGACACGAAGACUAGGUCAAAGGGUUCUGAUUUUAGGUUAGAAUCAAAUGUUGGUGUCUCACACAUAUAAAUACCUAAAAUUUUCUAUGUCAACGUUGCUCAAGCCAAUUCUUGGGGCUUGCCCUUCGUCCUUGGCUUGUUCUUGCAAGCUGCAAUUGAAUUCGUUUUGAGAGUUCAAUAUGGCAGAGUUCGAAGAGCAAGUAAAGGUUGCAGCAAAGAAGACCACAGCUGCAGCGAAGAAAGCCAAGAAGGCUAUAGCUAAAGGUAGCAAGAAGGCUUAUGGUGCAUGCAAGAAAGGUUGGGCGAAGAUAAAACAAAGCAUCAAGGAGCACAAGGAGAAGAAUAAGAGAAUAGAAUAUUUGGGUGAUCGUCGUCGUUGAUGAGAUCAUUUUUCUUCAUAUUUGUUCAUUGUUCUUGUGGAUUGUCUGGUGAAAAUUAAUGAAUUUCAUUUACACCUUACGCAUGCAGCAUGAUUAUUGGUUCUUGUCUUUCUUAAUAUAAUAAUUUAUUGAUUCAAUGGGAAAGAAGUGCCGAAUUUGGAUCAGUGUUAUGUAUUGCUUGUUUAUGUUCUUUUCUUGUUGCAGCAUUUCGUUUCAGGUUUUACUUUUGAUGCAAUACGUCUAUCAUGUUAUAUGUUGCAUGCUUUUGUUCUAAUUAAAAUCAUAUAAGUGUAACUUUCAUUACACAUAUCUAGUUUAAAAAUGCAUAAAAUAUAGUAAAUAUAUAAUUGGAAUCCUACAAAUUCAAAAGAACUUGCAUUUUGGAUAUUUUUAAAAGGUGAUAAAAACAAUAAACUAUUUUAUGAAUAAGAAAAAAUAAAAAUUAGUAUCAAUCUCGUAAGAAUAUAAUAAUUUUCUAUAUUAUACAUGUUUCUGUUUCUUAGGUCAUUAUAUUGUAAAUAUAUGACUCUUAUAUACAUAUUCUUAUACACUGUCAAUCUUCAAUAAAUAUUGAGUGUUAAAAUUUAUGUCUAAACAUAUAAAAAAAUUAAGAUGACUAAAUAUAUUAAAAUUUUAAAAAUAUUUUAUAUAUCAUAUAUAUAUAUAUAUAUAUAUAUAUAUAUAUAUAUAUAUAUAUAUAUAUAUAUAUAUAUAUAUAUAUAUAUAUAUAUAUAUAUAUAUAUAUAUAAAUUGGGAGCCAAGCCCCCUGACUACGUUACAAUCCACCAUUGCUCACACAAUAUUUGUGUAGAUUUUUAAUGAAAUUUAACAUAUGGUUAUUUUUUCAAUUGUGAGAAUGAUCAAUUUGUUAAGAUACAUCCACACUUAUAAUCUGUUAAUGUAAUUUGGAUAAUGUCACUAUAAACUAUACUUAAAAUACUAUUAAUGGUGGUAUGUCGCUAUACCUAUUAUUCUAGGUGAUCCAAUCAAUCAAGAGUUCACAUUUCACUUUAAAGAUAAUAACAAAUACAAGAGAAACAUACUGAUGUAUCAAACACAACUCCUAAAAAAUUUAUUUCACGUACCAUAUAACUCAUAAUCCAUGAUAACUGAGAGAUACUAAUCACAUUGUCUGAGUUGAAAUAUUUAGGUUAUUGCAUGCACAUCUCAUGUUUUUACAUGUUAUAAUUACUAAAAAUAAAUGUUCAACUAUAGUCAAUAUUUAAAACCUGGUAUAAUCAUCAAUAAUGUCCAUAAGUAUGUAAAAAACACCAUUAAUAGCAUAUACGCAAUUACAUUAAGAAAAUUAUUUUGGAGACAAAACAACUAAUUUUCAUAUAUCAUGAUUAAUAUCACUUAACUAUUUAUUUGGAGUUGUUUGAACAAUACUAUAAAAAUCAUUUUCAUCAUUUCCAAUAUUAGGUAUAUUCAUAAAAAAAUUACAUGUUUAUAAAAUACCAUGUAAUUAAUAAAGUUUUUAUCUCUUGACAACUUGUAUAAUAUCUUUAAUAUUAUUGAUGGCUAAAAUUCUUUAGUUAUGUCGAUAGUUUACAUAUAGUUAAAAAUUCAUUGAUAAAAUUCUCGAUGAUAAAUUUUAUCGACAAUAACAAACCAAAUGAUCAAAAGGAAAGGUUUAGAAAGCUGGAUUGUCUCCUAGUAAGCGCUUCUUUAACGUCACUAGCUUGACAUCAUCUACAUCAUCAGAACAUCCAUCAAUAGAUGCUAAUAUUUCUUAUCUUCAUUGGUAUCCCUCAAUUGACACCAAUCUUUCUAAUCUUCAUCGGCAUCCAUCAAUAGAUGCCUAAUCACCUAACAUCCAUUAGUAGAUGUCUAGUCAAUGUCCUCUUCCAUAGCAGCAUCCAUCAGUAGAUGUUGUCAUUCAUCCUCCUCAUCAUAGCAACAUCCAUUAGUAGAUGUUGUAGAAGCAUCCAUCAAUAGAUGCUAUCAUUUCUACCAUCAGAAGCAGCAUUUAACCUAAAAAAAAACCUCAAACACACAAAGAAAAAAUCAAAUCAAAACCACACAAUUAAAUCAACUAAAAAGAAAAGUUCAAAAAAUUGGGCUAUCAUUCAUCAGUAGAUGUUGUUAUCUGAAUCCUCUUGUCAUCCCUUAGUAGAUGUUGUCCAGCAUCCAUCAGCAGAUGUUGUCAUUAAUGCAAAAAAAAAAAAGCUCAAAUCCACACCACACAACUAAAUAAAAAAACAAAAUUAGAAACCAAGUUGCCUCCCAGCAACCGCUUCUUUAACGUCACUAGCUUGACCCACUACAAUUACCAUAUGCCUCAAUUGUUCCCUUUUUCUGGAUAUUUUUUUCUUUUUGUUGAAUUUUUUCAGGAAUUUAAUAUAACCAAGAACCUGUUGUAGUGUCCCAAUCAUAGGAAUUUUAAUCUCCAAUUUAUUGUAGAUUUCCAUGAAACGCUUAAACUGUUUUUUCUUCUCCUUCCUAUGAUACUUCUUUGGGUGAGGAAUGGGUUUUUCAUAUGAUUCUUUCUUCUUUCUCUCAUCCUCUUCCUCUCUCUUUUUCUUUUCUUCCCUCUCUUUUUCCUCCUUGGAACACUCCUUAGGGUACAAAAGAUUUUUCUCAAAAUUUUUCUUUUCUCUCUCAACCUCUUCUUUUUCUUUUCUCUUCUUCUACAUUCUUCCCCUUUCCUUUUCUCUCAACCUCACUUUUUCUCUCUUUUUUUUCUUCCUAUUCCUCUACAUGUUUCUCGUUUUCACUCAACCUUUCUUCUUUUCUCUCUAUUUUUCUCUCUUCUAAAACUUUGUCACUUCUAGUGAUAAUGGCUUGACAUUCCUCCCUAGGGUUAACUUCCAUAUUGCCCCAAAAUCAUCCAGCUUCUGAAGUAUGUGACCAAGCUACGCCUCCAUCCUUCUAAGUGCCUCUUGAGUGCUUUUAUGAUAAGAAUCAGACAUCUGCAUUAAUUGUUGAAGUAUAUAAUCCAUCUUAGCCAUUCUUUCUGCUAAAGAGCGUUGUUGCUGCCAUUAUUAUUGUGGUAGUCUAUCAAAUUGCCCAGCAGCUUGCCCAAAUUGACUUUGACCCAUGCUUGAGUGAGGUAACAACCCGUGGUUGAAAUUACCUAAGUGCCCAUAUAAUUAACUUCUUGUCCAAAUUGCAUCCUGCAAGCACUAAACACAAAGCCCUAAAACACAUUGUUAGCACAAAAACAAAAAUAAACAUAAUAGAACACAAAAAUAAAAAUAAAAAUAAGAAAAAUAAAAAUAAAGUCAAAGUUAAUAAAGAAUCACACAAAUAGAAUAGUUUAAACCAUGAGUCCCUGGCAACGGCGCCAAAAAUUUGUUGAUGGAUCGACAAGUAUACUGAAUCGCACAAGUAAUAUAAAAUGGUAAGACCAAGUAUCGUGUCCCAAGAGACUCUCGACACUAGACAAUUGUGUGAUAACUUGAUUAAUUAAGACUUAAAGAAAACGAGAUCAUUGGUUUCAAAUGCAAAAACAGAAAAUUAAAUAUCGAUGCAGUUUGAUCGAUAGCAGAGUAGCAUAAUGAUGAACGAAUGUUGUUUAAUACGUCAUAUGCACAAGGAAUUCAUUUUUUUUUUGUUUGAUUAAAAGAAAAAAGAAUAUAACCAAAAAGACACUUUGGAAGUCUAAAGAAAAUCAUUUUCCCAUAUAUCAUUUAAGUAGACUGCCUUUAAUUAUUGAAGCCCAUAUCAACCCUUUUCCCAACAGUAAUUAUUUAAGUAGACAUCAAUUUAUAAAAUUUCUUGUAACAACAGUUGUGUUAACUUGUAACAACUCCAAGGCCUUUCAAAACGCUACUACUUCAAAUCAUAAAAUUCAUAAACUCCUUCUAGGAAUUAAUAGAGGAAGUUGAAUAUUUUCAAAAUCGACGUGUUAUUUCAAGUUAAAAAGGAAAAAGAAAAAAACGAUAAAAGAAAAAAAAAGGAGAGACCUUUGCCGUAAUAUUAAAUAAUACGUCGACUUCCCUUUGUUGGACGUUCAUAUCUUAAUAUUACGUCGAUUAGCUUUAUUAUUCGACGUAAUAUUGGUGUUUUAAAAAGAAAUAAUAACAUAUAAUGUUGCAUGCAAUGUAAUGGUGUAAAAUUAAAAUGGAUAAUUGCAAUCAUAAAAAUGAUUUAAUCAUAUUUAAUCAUUUUAAACAAUUCAAUCACCGUUCACUAAUGUUUCCCAAAAGAGAAUUUCAUUAAUACUCAAGAGAUGAUUUCAAAACAUCCCACCUAAAAUAGAAUUUCAUUACUAAAUAGAAUAGAAUAAAAGAUUAUAAAAAAAAAGUCUAACUCAACAUUCCACCUAUAAUUUUCACACGAGUUUUUAAUAUUAUCAUCAUCAUCUUCAGUAUCCACUAUUUCCCAAGAAAUAGACUUCUUCAUUCUCCAACCACUACAUUGUCUCUGGGAACAUAAAGGACUUGGAUUGCGCAACAGUGUUCCAUGAGGUUUUCUCCAUACAUUACCCAACAAAGUUACUAAUUUAUUUCUACAUCUUACAACAUAGUUGACAUUUCUCAAAAAUUGCAUAUAGUCAACCACUGCUUUUCUUAAAUCACUAUCGUAUGAACAUAAUAAGAUCAAACCAUAUACAUAUUUUGCUUCAAGAUAACCUCUUUUGGUAGCCAUUUUCAAGUCAUUAAUGCCUUUUUCAAUAUUUCCCUUAUAUCUAAUUAUUUCUCUUAAUCUCUCUCUAUACAAAGCUUCAAUAUUUCCACCCUCUUUACAACUUUGCAUGAAAAUAUCAAAUGCCCUUGCUUCUUUACAUGACCAUGAAAUCAACGAAAACUUUUCUAAAGAAAUUUGUUGCCACAUAUAAUUGUCUUUUAUGGCAUGCAAAAAAUCUCUACAACAUACUUUCAUAUUGUAAUGAUCAAUCCAAGAUUCAGAACUUACCUUUGCAACCACAUUAAGCAAUAAGUCUGUGGGAAGUGGUUUGAUUGGAAAAAUUGUAGAAUUGUCAUCUUCUGUGCGUUGUCUUUUGUUAUCUCUUUGAACUGAUUCUUCCAUUACAAUGAAAUGAGCAGACUCGUGGCUUUCAUGACAUUGUCUCUUGUUUCAUUGUGUCUUCUUCAUCAAUUUUGAAGUUGUCAUGUUUACUAUGCGGUUCAGCAAAUUUGAGUUAGCCUUUUACUUCUGAAAUGUCCAAGUAUUACAACGUACUAUUGGUGGUUUUUAAAUUGAAACGUCCAAGUAUUAAAACUCUUCGUUUACUGUUGGAUUAAAAAUGGAGUAAUUCUUCAUUUAUUGUUUGAUUAAAAAGAAAAAAGAAUUAAAAAGGGAGAAACUCUUCGGCUUCUAACAGACAAAUAAUAUGUCAAUCCCCAAAGAAUUCGACGUAAUCUUGGUGGUUUAAAAGAAAAAAGAAAAAAGAAUUAAAAGGGGGGUAACUCUUUGGCUUCUGGUUCACAAUAAUACGUGCAUGGCUUUAGAUAUGGACAUACUAUUUGUGUUUUAAAAAAAAUAAAUAAAAGAAUGACGCGUUGGUUUAAAUAUUUACCGUCAAUGAACGUCGAGUUUUAUGGGGCUUCGAUGUUUUAAUUUAAACUUCCAAGUAUUUCAACUAUAGAAUGUGGAGUUGUAAUGGUAUAGGACAUGUUAUGUCGAAGUUAUAUUGAAACUAAAUAAAUAUAUUUCUGAACUUUUAUUGAAAUAGUAACCUUUCCGUAUACCUCUAGAUCCUAUUCUCAAAUGGCUUCUUCAUCUUCACGGCGUGGAAAUAAGGCUGCACAAGUUGUAAGAAAUGUUAGUCCAAAUGGGUGGAUAAGUGAUAACGAAACACGAUACAAAUUUGGAUGAUAUAGAAAAUUCUUCCAAGUGGUCCAUCACAAGUACAUGGAUCUGGAAUUAUUCAAAAAGCAAGGGUUUCCUUUUCAAGAUUGGCUUGUAGAUGUUGGUCUUGCAAAAUUUGUAGAAAUGAGCGGUGAUUUCUAUCCUCACCUGGUAGAAGUGUUCUACCACAGUCUGAAGGUUGUCGAUGGUGUUAUAUGCUCUCGGGUGAAAGGUGUCGAUAUUAAAAUUGAUGGUGAAAUAUGGCUAUCUUUUACCGGUCUCAAAGCACAAGGUUUCAGGUCUCAUGAAAGAAAUUUUGAACUCAACCAAUGGACCAACAAGAAGAAGAUUUAUAAGGAAUUUAUGAGAAAUCCAAAAGGACUGAAGGUAUACAAGCCGUAUCUACUUGAUGGUUUGAAAAUGGAAGAAAAAUUGUGUGCUUUGGUACUUACUUGGGUAAUACUACCUGGAAGAUAUAUACGUGAUCGUCUAACUACUGAAGAUUUAUUUUUGGUUCAUGCCAUAAAAACACGGAUACCAACCAACUGGGUUGCUGUUAUGAGUGAGCACAUGAUUGAAAUUGCAAGUAGGUAUGGACAUAAUUUGUCAUAUGGUGUUUUUAUCAGCAGUGUAUUGAAGCUUCAUUAAGUUGAUCUUACUGGUGAAAAAAAAAAUGGAUGCACCAAAUCAAAUGAAAUAGGAAAAGCGGCAUUGACCUUUAAUGGUCUAAAGAAAACAAAAGAUGGUUGGGUGUUCAAGGAUGUUGACGAAACUCCUCCUACCUUCACUCCACACACUGAGUUUGAAAGAUUUGUUGGGGAUCGAUUUCGAAGGCUUUCAACGAGAAUUUCAAAUGUUGAAAAUUCUUUGAUCAUGAUUCAUAACAAAUUACAUGAAGACAAUUUAGUUGAAACCACAAUGAGUGAAUUUGAUGAUGAAGACGACACAACAGAAGACGAGUCUAUGGAGACAUCUGACUCAGAUUAGGAAGAAGAGUCCAUUUUAGUUUAUUUUUCUUAAAUUAAUGAAAUAUUUUAAUAUAUUUUAGUUUUUUUUUUCUAUGUUUGAACUCUGUUUGAAAUUUUAGUAUAUACUUUUCGUGGUUAUAUUUUCAUAUUUUUCCUAUAUUUGGUGUUAUUUUGCUUUUCUUAUGUUUUUGUUUGGUUUAAUAAACCCUCAGUUGGCAUUGUGCAUUACAUUCAAGGUGAUCCACGUGGAAUAAUAAUAAUGUUGGUAGCCAGUGUUUUAUGUUCGUGUUCGUCUUCAGGAGGAAGGAGUUCUCGAAGCACUAUGCAACUGAGGAAAUGUCUCGUUCAUCUUCGUCUUGAAAGUGUUUGGGUUCGGACUUCCAAUACAGUAGUGGCAGCGUUAGGAGGUUGGGUGUAAAACCCACUUGCUUUUGUGGUCACAUUGCAGUUUUACGCAUUGCGAGAACCCCUAAAGCAAGGGCAAAAAGUUAUGGGGUUGCCCUAACUUCAAGGUCAGUUUAAUAUAAGCAUAAAUGUUUAUUUAUCUUUUUGAGUUUUGACGAGAGAGUGUGCCUAUAUUCGUUCAAUAGGGUGAGGGCGAAGAUUUCGUUGGCUGCAACUUCUUUCACUGGUGUAGUGAAGAAGCAAUAGAAGAAGGAAAUGUGUUGUAUGGAGAAGAAAUGAGUAGAAGUGGAAGAAAUGAACAAGCAUGUGGAAGUUUGAUGAUGGAACAAAGUGUAACGAAGAUGGAAGAGGCUGAUGAUGAAAAGAUGAAAAUAGCUUGUUUAGAGAAAAGUGUUGUUAUGUUCGAAAAGUGGUUGAAGGUGUUAUUGGGGAUGGUAUUUGUUAUGUGUUUUUAAUGUAAUUUUAAUAUGUAUGUUGAUGAAACUUGGUUGAUCUCUCCAUACAAGUUGUUAUAUUGUAAUUUGCUAAUGUUAAAAUGUGUUUUAUUUAUAAAGCUGAGUGAUUAGUGUUUAAAACUGUGUAAUUUGAUUUCUUUACUUGAAAUGGAAGUUUUUUUGAAAUCUUUGAAUCUUUUAACAUCGAACUCUACAAAUAAAUGACGUUUUAAAAGGAGUGAAAACCAAAGAAAAUAAUGUUAACUUUUUAUUUUGGUUUUCACCCUAAGAAAUCAUAUAGCUCUGAAAUCUAACAGUAAAAAACAACUUCAAAACAAUUUAAAAAGAGAAUCAUACAUUGCAAAAAGAUGAAGUUAAACAACUUUUUUUAUAAAUUGAUUUUAGUUCUCAAAAUUGUUUCAGCAUGAAACAUAUUGUGAACCAUAUUUCUUUUUCCUCGACAAUUCUCUUUCAGUAAGAUAACUUAAUCAUUUAUGUACUAUAAAAAGCAUUUUGUUCAGUUGAAUGUCAAAGGGUCACCUUCAUAUGAAUUGAGACAUGAAUGAGGCACUAUUCCACCAAGAAAAUUGCAAUUUAAAGAACAGACAUGUUUCAAAAUAUAGAGAAAGAAAAGUGCCUAGGAGAUAAAAAAACAUGAGUCGUAAUAUGUUCAAUAUGUAAACAGGACGAAUGGAAUAAUAAGAAAAGCACGUGUAUAUUUAUAGAUGAAAUGAUGUCGUCAAACUUCCACAGAAUUGUCGUGCAAUAUCAUUUCAUCAUGAAAAAAGCAGUACAUCGAGUAAUUAUACCAAAGUUCGACGUUCAAACAUCAUUCAGAGACAAAGUAAAAAAUCUCUUUGGAUACUGAUAUGACCUUCUUGCUACUGAUAUAACCUCCUUGUUGACGAAAAAUAUGUCGAAGAACUAGGAGUUUUGAUGUUAAAGUUCGGGUUGAAAAGGAAAAAAGUAAAAGUAAAAAAAAAGUAGAGCGACCUUUGGCUUCUUGAUGAAGAAUAAAACGUCAAAGACACGUAGAAUUCGACAUAAUAUUAGUGCUCGGUUAAAACCACACAAUUAAUGGUGCCCCAAGCACUCAUGUGCUCGUCACGUCAACACUACCAAAUGUUGUGACGUUCUAUUGCAAAUAUAUCAUCCAUCGUUUAAUAUUGGACUAAAAGAAAAAUGAAAUGAAAGAGAGUAACCGAAGAAAUAGGUUAACAGAUUUGGAUUUCAUCUCAAGUUGUACCAUUCGAAAACCUUCCCUAACCAAAUUCAUGUUAUCUUUUUUUCCUUUGUUUUGUCGUCAUUCCUUCACUAAACCAAGACAUUUCUUUGUUAAAGAUGAAGGUAUGGUGGAAAAUAGAGGAAAAUGUUAACACUUAUGAAUUUUAAGUAAACCCUUUGAAAACCUAUCCUACAUAACUUCCGCAACCAAAUUCAUGUUAACUUUUUCCUUUGAUUUCCCAUCAAUUCCUCCUCUAAACGAAGUCAUUUCUUUUUUAUCCAUGAAGGCAUGGCAGAAAACCAUAGGAAAAUAUUAACAUUUAUGAAUUUCAAAAACAUUCUCCAUUAUUUUGAUUGUUUUUAAUUAUAUUUUUUACAUUCUGUUUUUGGUUAUAAUGUACUUCAUCAUCUUCGGUCUUCAUUUUUUAUGUUGUGAUUUGUAAAUUGGAUUUCAUUUUGAAAUCCUCUAAGAUACGAGACGUCAGUUAUCUCAAAAAAAAAAUGACGACUAUCUCCGGGCCCUUGCAUCGAAUGUACUCAAUAUUCGACGUCAACUGUAUAAAUUGAAGUUGUUUCCACCACGGGAAAUCAGAAAGCUCUGAAUUCUAAUGGUAGAAAACAACUCCAAGCCAUUUAAAACAUGAACCGUACAUUGUUAAAGGAUGAAGUUGAACAACUUUUUUAUAUCAUUAUUUUAGUUCUCAAAGUUGUUCCAGCAUUAAACAUAUUGUGAACCAUAUUUCUUUUUCCUAAGCACUUUCCUUUCAGUAAGAUAACUUAAUCAUUUAUGUACUAUAAAAAGCAUUUUGUUNNNNNNNNNNNNNNNNNNNNNNNNNNNNNNNNNNNNNNNNNNNNNNNNNNNNNNNNNNNNNNNNNNNNNNNNNNNNNNNNNNNNNNNNNNNNNNNNNNNNNNNNNNNNNNNNNNNNNNNNNNNNNNNNNNNNNNNNNNNNNNNNNNNNNNNNNNNNNNNNNNNNNNNNNNNNNNNNNNNNNNNNNNNNNNNNNNNNNNNNNNNNNNNNNNNNNNNNNNNNNNNNNNNNNNNNNNNNNNNNNNNNNNNNNNNNNNNNNNNNNNNNNNNNNNNNNNNGAACCAUAUUUCUUUUUCCUAAGCACUUUCCUUUCAGUAAGAUAACUUAAUCAUUUAUGUACUAUAAAAAGCAUUUUGUUCAGUUGAAUGUCAAAGGUCACCUUCAUAUGAACUGAGACAUGAAUGAGGCACUUUUACAUUCAACCGGGCAUAAUGCAAUUUAAAGGACAGACAUGUUACGAAAUCGAAGGAAAGGGAAAAGGCUUAGAGAUAAAAAACAUGAAUCCUAAUAUGUUCAAUACGGAAACAGGAAGCAAGUCAUUACUUGAUAUUCAAGCCAAAUUUAUAGAUGAAAGUAGAGAAUGUCGGAUUCGACGUUCAAACAUCAUCCAGUGAAAAAGUUAAUAAUAAAUCUCGUUUGUUUCAGAUAAGAACAAAUUGACCCAUAACAUCGAAUGACAAGGGAGUGGGACGUUUAAUUUGAGGAAUAAAUAGUAAAAUUAAAAAAAUAAUAAAUAAUUGACGACCUUUGUCUUCUGGUUGAGGAAGACAUCAACUGUAAUUAUAGAUGAUUUACAUUGUGUAAUAAUGCUUAGUGGUUAUAUUUAUAGAUGAACCGAUGACGUACAUCGUGUGAUAGUGCUCAGUAACUGACUAACACCAUCUCGUAUGGACGUCGAAGCCCUGCCCAGUUUGACGUUCAUACAUCAAUCAUAGAAAAAAUAAUAUAUUUUGUUUGAUUCAUACAAUGACAAAUUGAGUACCUGCCCACAAGAAAUUGUGUACUUUUCAAUUAUCGAGGUGAGAUUUGGAGGGAUGGAAUGGAGGUUAAAAAGUUUGAUGUGCCCCUCUGUAUUUAUAUAAUUCCACUUUAAAUUUUGCUAAGUUAAUAUGGUCGAUUCUAAAUAAUAAUAAUAAUCGAUUCAAAGCGUUAUAAAUUAAGAAAUGCAAAUUAGCUUUUAAUGAUGAUUUAUGGUGACAACGUGGUUGGUUAUUGAUCACACGAUUUGUUUAAAUAUUAAAAAGCAUAGAAAUAAUGAGUGAGAGAGUUCAAAUUUGUUUUUCUAAUAAUGUUAAUCAUUGUAUUUUAUUUAUAUUAAUAACUUAUUAUAACUAUUGAAUGUUUCAAAGUAACUUAUUUAAAUGUGACCAAAUUUUUGUUUUAAGAGUUCAUUUCAAUUUUUAUCUUCGUUGUGGACUUUUUAUAUUUCACUUUUUAUCUUCGUUUCAAUUGGUCCUUUUCAAAUGGAUAAUGAUACUUAGACAACAUUUUUUUACAAUAUUUGAACAUCAUCUACGUGUCAUUUUGUGAUUGGUCCAAAAUUACUUCACAAUCAAUAAUAAUAAUCAUAAAUAUCACCAUGGACCAAUCAUAGAAUGACACGUAGAUGAUGUUAAAAUGUUGUCAAAAAAAUGUUGUCUAAGUAUCAUUAUCCUUAAUAAUUAAUAGAAUUGUAGGUUGUACAAUCAUAACCUGGCCUGACCAUCUCGAGUAUUUGCUUCGAUUGGAGGUUGAUAAGAAAGAGAUGGAGACGCCAUAAAAAAGAUGUUAAUCUUUCUAAGAAUCAUUCUAAACCAAUAACCAAAAUGAAAAUGCAUAUUAUAACUUCCAAAGUGACUACAUAUGUAUUUGGUGCCCUACAUACAGGUAUAAAUGUUUAAGGCACCUAAGAAACCCUAAAAGAAAGUCCAAUGACAUUCGAUCGACCUUCAACUUAUACUUAUGUUAGUUUGUCUCGACCUUUAGUCUAAAUCACCCAUCCCAACAUUCAUUUAUAGGGUCAACCAGUCUCGACCGUUAAUCAAACUUAACCUGCCUUAAUCUUCGACCCAACUCAUUUAGUCUUGUACAUCAAUAAAACCUGACAACUCUAGAUACACAUUGUCUCUUCUUGAUCUUUGGCUUUUGGUUUGAUGCAUCUCAAUUGUUAACUUGUCUCAAUCUUUUCUACUAACUCUCAAUUUUUGUAAACAAUAAUCUAUCUUCACCUUCAGUUUAUCACUCAACUUCAUCCUUAUUGAAAUUUAAAGUAUUAUUUUUUAAAAUCAAUUAAAGUCUUUUAAUAUAAUCAUACCUAUCUUUUAGUUCGGAUUUAAAAAAACAUUCAUUUCACAUAACUUUUAAUCAUAUAAUAAUAUUUAUUAUGAUAUUAAUUAUUAUAACUAAAACUAAAUUCUCAUAAAUUAUUGUUAUUAUUAUUAUUUUUUAUAUUUUAUAAAUUUUUAUUCUCUUUAAAUUUCAGCAACAAAUCUUUCUUAUAUUUUAUAAUACGUAAAUAUUACAAGAUAAAUUUACACAAAUUCAUAAAAUAAAAAUUUAAAAAGAAAUAUGUAAAUCAUAUCUUAAAAUAUAAUGGUAACGGGAGGUUAUGGGCGGUUUAAAUGAAAAAAGGAAACAAAAGGGCGGGGGUAAAGGGAGGUUAUGGGCGGUUUAAAUGAAAAAAGAAACGAAAAGGCAGGAGACUGAACAAGAAAACGUCAAAUGUCAAAAAUAUUCAACGUAUAACAUGUGUUUUUUUUUCAAUUUAUAGGUCAAAGGUAGUAUAAUUUGGCGUAUCGUUUGUAUUUUUAAACCACGGAAUUUGAGAUAGACGUUCUGAGAAUUAUAUUCAGACAUGGCUUCUUCAUCAUCAUCAUCAUCAAGAAGAAAAGAGAAGGUUGUCCGGGUUACAAGAAACGCAAACCCAUCUGGAUGGAUAAGUGAUGAAGAGAUCCGAGUAAAGUUUUUAUACUGGAGACAUUUAAAAAUUGUAGUUCCUCACAAGUAUCUCGACCUGCCAUUGUUCAAGAAAGAAGGUUUUGUUUUUCAAGAAUGGAGUGCAUAUCAAGGGCUUACUAAUUUUGUCCAGAUGAAAGGAAAUUGCUAUCCAGAUUUGGUAGAGGUUUUCUACACAAACCUGAGAGUUGUAAAUGGGGUCAUUCACUCGAGGGUCAAAGGGGUUAACAUUACUAUUGACGAUAAUACUUGGUCAAAUCUUGCUGGUUUGAAAGUUGAGGGUUUGGCUUCUCAAAUCUUGUUGAGUCAAACAUGUGACUAAAAAAGAGAGCUAUAUAUGUAAACUGCUUAAGAUAUCCAGGAAGGUACAGGGUGGAUAAGCAGUAAUGUCCUGACUUGGCUAUUGCUGCCUGAAAGAUUGAACGAGGACAGAAUGUCAACAGAAGAUGUAUUUCUAUUGAAUGUUAUCAAGACUAGAAUCACAACCAACUGGGUUGCAGUUCUCAAAGACCACAUGAUCGCUGCAGGAGAUGAUUAUGCACACAAAUUGCCAUAUGGAGUAUUUCUCAGCAAUGGGUUGGAACUCCACGGAGUAUAUGUAUCUGAAGAAGAAAGAAUUGUGUGCAAAAGGUCACAAAAAAUUGGUGUACCAAGUCUGUCAUCUAUUGGGAUGAAAAGGACUGAUAAUGGAUGGUUCUUCACUGAUGAGCAAUGGAAUCUUCUUGAUAAUAAUGGGGACUACUUUUCUAUGUUUUUUUCUUUUUAAUUUUGUAAUCAUGGCUAUUAAGCCCCCGCUAGUUUUUCCAUUUCCAUCGGUUUUAUUUAGAAAUACAAUGAAGAUUUAUUUUAGCAAAAAAUGAUCAAAAACUGAUCACUGGUUAAAAGUGAAAAUUUCAGUACAAUGCUAACUUGAAUCAAUUAAGGAGGAAGUAAAAAGAAAAAAAUUUCAUCUCUUAUUUUAAAGAAAAAAGAAUAUAAAGUUCACCACCCUCUUGUAUUGGUGGAAGAAAAUCAAACGUCGAAGACCUAUCAAAUACGACGUCGAAGACCUUUGCAAUUGAAAAGCACGCCAUGGAACGUCGAAGGCUCUCGGGCUUUGACGUUUUAUUUUUUUCUCAAAAUUAUUUCAUCAUUAAACAUAUUGUAAACCAUAUUUCUUUUUCCUCAUAACUUUCCUUUCAGUACCAUAACUUAUUUACGGUGUAGACUAUAAAAAGCAUUUUGUUAUUGACUAAGUCCUGAAUGCGGCACUUUAUUUAGGGUGUAGACUAUGUUUAAGAACAUUAAUUUCACAUAUCUUUUAAUAAUUAAAUAAAAUUUAUUUUUGUAUCGAGUGUACUCAAAGUUCAACGUCAACGGUGUAAAAAGAUUCCAAAUUUAAAUUGUCCGUAAGUUGUCUCUUCUCUUAGAAAUCAGUAGCUCUGAAAUCAAACAGAGGAGUACCACUAAUGGAUAAUUUGAAAAAGGAAACAUACAUUGUUGAAUGAUGAAGUUGAACAACUUUUGUUUUUAGAGCUUAAAAUUGUUUCAGCACUAAACAUAUUGUGAACCAUAUUUCUUUUUCGUAAGCACUUUCCUUUUAGUAAGAUAUCUUAACCAUUUUUGUACUAUAAAUAAAAACAUUUUGUUAACUUGAACUGGAAAGGGCUCCUUCAUACAAAAUGGCGAUGAAUGAAUCACUUCCAAGUUAAAGUUAUCAAAUUGCAAUAUGAAGAACAAAGAUGCUUAGAAAUCUAAUGAAAAGAAAGUGAAAACAAAAUGAAAACUAUGAAUCCUAAUAUGUUUAAUAUGGAAACAGGAGGCAAGGGAAUACGUGAAAUGCAAGCUAUAUUUAUAGAUGAACCGAUGACGUACAUCGUGUGAUUAUACUUAGUAACUGCCACACGCCACCAUCUUGUAAGAACGUCGAAGCCCUGCAGAAUUCGACGUUCAAACAUCAUUCAAAGAAAAAGUAAUAGAUCUUGUUUCAUUCACUUACAUAGUGUAAUUAUGCUUAGUAACCGCCAAUGUGUAUGAACUCUGAAUCCUAGCCGAAAACGAUGUUCAAACAUCAUUCAGAGAAAAAGUAAUAAUUGUAGUUUAAUUCAGAAACUUUUAUUCUAACAUACCAAAAAAAAAACAUUUAAUAUUGUGCAUUUAAUAAACUUUAUUAUUUCGAUAAUAAUUAUUAAAUUAAUAACAAAAAUAAUAAAACUAAAAUUAAUAAUAAAAUAAUAAAAAUAAUAUAAAAUGUUAUUUAAUAUAUUAUAAAAUAUUAAAUCAUAUUAAAAUAAUAAAAUAAAAUAGUUAUUUAUUAAUUUUAAUUUAAAAACAAAAUUUAAAGAAAUGUUAAACAGUUUUUCAAGUUUAACAUAUUUUUAAAAUUUUUUUAUUUAAAUUUUAAUUAAUAAUUAACUUAUUUUAAUAUUUUAAUAUAAUUUUCAUACAUGUUUGUUAAAGAUUCUACAUUGUGAAAGACGUUCCAAGAUUUCUAUUCAGACAUGGCUUCUUCAUCAUCAUCGUCAAGAAGAAAAGAGAAGGUUGCCCGGGUUACAAGAAACGCAAACCCAUCUGGAUCGAUAAGUGAUGAAGACACCCGAGGAAUGUUUUUAUACUGGAGACGAUUAUGAUAUUGAUCAAAAACUGAUUAUGAUAUUGAUCAAAAAAGAAAAGAUUUCAUGUUUGAUUUUAAAUUCAAAAAAGAGUGCCACAUUUUGAUAUUGGUAGAAGAAAAAAACAUCAAAGCCAUAUUGAAUACAACGUUCUAUUAAGCACACCAUUAAUGGUCCUAACAUACUUUAAUUCCCUUCAUGUCCCAGCCCCGCAGCCUUCGAUGUUUUAUGGCAGGAAUGAAAAGAAAAGACAUUGAAAAGUACGAUACUUUCUGAUAUUGGCGGCUAAUUAAGAGAAAAUGUCAAAUUCCCAGACAAUACGACGUUGUAUUUAAUGCGCCUGUUUUUUACUGGAAAUGUUGGAUUAUUUCUGUCUGCGACGUGGUUUUUAAAUAUAACGCCAAGUGUGUCUUGUAUUCGACGUGGAAUAUGAAGUUAAAAACAUAACACGCCCUCACUAUUUGUUUGCGCUACCAUUUCUGCUUGAAAUUUCUUCUACGUGGAUGACUGCGAUAAAGAAAGAAGCUUAUGUUUAAUCUUUUCUGUUUUUGUAAAUUCAUUUUGUUCCCAUUUCUAAGGUUCACCGAAUGUUUUUCGUUUAUCUUUAGGUUGUGUUUCAUACGUGGUCAGCGAACUUCAACAUAUUCUCCAGUGACACCAUUUCAAGUAUGUUUUUUUUUAUCUUUAAUAUCUCAUACGUAUGAUGUAUGUGCUCGUGUUUGUGUUGUGUUUUUUGAUUCUUGACGUAUGGUAUAUGUACAAUUGUUUAUUUUUUUCCUUCAACGUAUGAUAUUUGUGUUCGUUCGUUGUUAGCGAACUUCGUCAUUUUCUCUAGUAUCACCAUUUUGUUGUCUGUUCUAACUAUAAUUUACUAACUUUGUAAACAGGUAUGACGAGCUCUAGAUCGGGUCAGACGGGAGGAGGUGGUAGAUCUGUGACUCGGAUGCCUGGUGUCACCUCCUGUCGGGUUAAUGAUAAACCAGAGCCGGUGGAGUUUGAUCCUAAAACAUUUGUGGCUAUAGGGGAACAUGCAACAGAGUUUAAGAGUUACUUGGGCACGCUGGCAAGAUUUCAUGUCCUAUUCUCGCUACCCGGUUGGGUGAUGUGUCACAAGUUGACAAAAAUCUACUAUGGCAGGAUGUUUUGGUAUGUUUAAGUUGUUUUACUUCCAUCAUUGACUUAUUUUCGUUGAACAUGCUUUAACAUUAAUUUUCAUUUUAAAAAGGAAAAUUAGGUUAUUCCUGAUGAUGAGAGGAUAAGGAAGAAGAUUUUAUCCCAAAUUGCAACCCGAUGGAGGGACUUCAAGAUGACAAUGACACGUAAAUUCGUCUUUGGCUCUAAACAGAACGAAACUCCCUGUACAAGGUAUAAAAUAUCUUAUGAGGCGUGGGUGCAAUUUAAAGAAUCUAGACUUACUCCUGAAUGGCAGGUAUCACUACAAGAAAAAACCUAUUUACAUACAGAUUAUUAUAUACGGAUUUAGAUCUGUAUAUAAUGAAACUGUUACCUACCGAUAUUUUAUACGACUGCUAAAAAACAAUAAAAAAAGUUAAAAGAAUUUAACUCUAAGUGAAAUGCAAAGAAUUGGAAAGAUCUUAGAGUCAUUCUACAACUUUCCCUCCUCUCAGCUUUCCCUCUCAUCUCUUUCCUAAUCACAAAUCGUCAUCAAGCCAUUAUUCAUUGUCUCUUCUUCUCAUCGAACUGUUCUUCUGGAGCAUUUUCCCUCCAUCAGCCUCUUCGUCGAUCUAUCAGCCUCUCGUCGAACCAUUUAUGGAGUUCUCAUCCUGCGACCAUGGAACUUUUGUUGUCGUCUUCAUCAUUUUCUCUCUCGAGCGCUUCUCAGCCAUCCACAUUUUCUUCAGAGAUUCACAGGUUUGUUCAUCACAAAAUCACUUCAUUAUGGUCAAAUCUCCAUUUCUUCCUUCUAUUUUUACUUCCAUAUACAAAACCACCUCCAAAUCCUAGGGUUUCGUCCUCCUCUUCAUUUUUCCUUCAUUUUUAACCAAUUAAAAUCACUUUUUUACUAUUAAAACCAUUUCUACUGUUUGUCCUUCGAUUUCCACCAAUUUAACCUCCAUUUUCAUCGUUUAAACAAUUUUGUACCGAUCAAUCUUACGUUUGAACCGAUUAAUCGGUUCAUAUUGAGUUUCUUUCCCUUUGUAGGGUUCCUUCGGCCCAGAUUAGGGUUCGUCAUCCAUUUUUGAGCUUUUCCCCAAUCAUUUUGGCUUCAAUUUAUUCGUUUAGGGUUUUUUAACAUUUUCUUCCGUUUAUUCUUUGUUUUGCUCUCGAUGUCUCAUUAUUCCGCUGCGUUUGCUCAUCAAGAAGCUUCUAUCAAGUGGCCGCAAAAUCAAUCACACCCAAUGGCGUUUCGGUGCUCCUCGCCAACCCUUUCCUAGAUUCUUUGUCGGAUCUUCCCGACAUUGUUGUUCAAAUAGUUGAUCUCAAGCCCAGCGGAAACAGAUACAUGUUUGUUCUCUCUAACCUACACGUUUCGUUACUCUUCCCCUUUUAGUUUUUGUUUCGGAUCUAUAAUUUCCUGCAAUUUUUUUUACUGUAUUUAUUUUUUGUGGCAGCUUGCUGAAAUAAUGAUUCAGGUGAAGUGAUCUAGUUUUUAAUUAUUUGACCUACUUUUAGAAUUCAAGCCUAAUUUUUCUGAAAUUCAAUAAUGAAUUGUUAAUUCUAUUUCAUUCUACAGGUUUACUCAAAGGUGAGUGGAGAAAAAAAUCCUGAAACCCCAACUAUUGAUGUGAGCUCAAAAGAAUUUUAUGGUGAGGGAUACGAUGACAGUGACAAGAGAAUUCCUGACAUGAUCAUAAUAAACAAGCAGCUUGGUAAGUUUCCUCACUUUCUCACUCUAUUUGACCUUCUAAGAAUGUAUCUUACUUGACCUGAUUGAUAAUUUGCCAGGUUGAAAUCCUAAGACUUCGCUCUUCGACCUGCUGGAAUCCACUCUAACCUAUCAGCACAGGACAUAUGCUGAAGCCAUCAAGAAAGUAAUUGCAAAACCCGUUGCAAGUUAAGCUUUUACAGGGAUGAUGAUUUGCUAUCUUGGAGAAGGGUGUCGUUGCGUAAGUUUCUGCCAUAUUUCACUGGUUGAUUUUAUAUAAAUGGUAAAUUUUCUUCCUUUUGGUUUCCUUAGCCAGCAGUAGGCAAUAACUCACAUAAGUCAUUGCCUUAAUGUAUGUUCUGGAGAAGUAGGAAUUUAUAUAUAGGGAAAUCUAUNNNNNNNNNNNNNNNNNNNNNNNNNNNNNNNNNNNNNNNNNNNNNNNNNNNNNNNNNNNNNNNNNNNNNNNNNNNNNNNNNNNNNNNNNNNNNNNNNNNNNNNNNNNNNNNNNNNNNNNNNNNNNNNNNNNNNNNNNNNNNNNNNNNNNNNNNNNNNNNNNNNNNNNNNNNNNNNNNNNNNNNNNNNNNNNNNNNNNNNNNNNNNNNNNNNNNNNNNNNNNNNNNNNNNNNNNNNNNNNNNNNNNNNNNNNNNNNNNNNNNNNNNNNNNNNNNNNNNNNNNNNNNNNNNNNNNNNNNNNNNNNNNNNNNNNNNNNNNNNNNNNNNNNNNNNNNNNNNNNNNNNNNNNNNNNNNNNNNNNNNNNNNNNNNNNNNNNNNNNNNNNNNNNNNNNNNNNNNNNNNNNNNNNNNNNNNNNNNNNNNNNNNNNNNNNNNNNNNNNNNNNNNNNNNNNNNNNNNNNNNNNNNNNNNNNNNNNNNNNNNNNNNNNNNNNNNNNNNNNNNNNNNNNNNNNNNNNNNNNNNNNNNNNNNNNNNNNNNNNNNNNNNNNNNNNNNNNNNNNNNNNNNNNNNNNNNNNNNNNNNNNNNNNNNNNNNNNNNNNNNNNNNNNNNNNNNNNNNNNNNNNNNNNNNNNNNNNNNNNNNNNNNNNNNNNNNNNNNNNNNNNNNNNNNNNNNNNNNNNNNNNNNNNNNNNNNNNNNNNNNNNNNNNNNNNNNNNNNNNNNNNNNNNNNNNNNNNNNNNNNNNNNNNNNNNNNNNNNNNNNNNNNNNNNNNNNNNNNNNNNNNNNNNNNNNNNNNNNNNNNNNNNNNNNNNNNNNNNNNNNNNNNNNNNNNNNNNNNNNNNNNNNNNNNNNNNNNNNNNNNNNNNNNNNNNNNNNNNNNNNNNNNNNNNNNNNNNNNNNNNNNNNNNNNNNNNNNNNNNNNNNNNNNNNNNNNNNNNNNNNNNNNNNNNNNNNNNNNNNNNNNNNNNNNNNNNNNNNNNNNNNNNNNNNNNNNNNNNNNNNNNNNNNNNNNNNNNNNNNNNNNNNNNNNNNNNNNNNNNNNNNNNNNNNNNNNNNNNNNNNNNNNNNNNNNNNNNNNNNNNNNNNNNNNNNNNNNNNNNNNNNNNNNNNNNNNNNNNNNNNNNNNNNNNNNNNNNNNNNNNNNNNNNNNNNNNNNNNNNNNNNNNNNNNNNNNNNNNNNNNNNNNNNNNNNNNNNNNNNNNNNNNNNNNNNNNNNNNNNNNNNNNNNNNNNNNNNNNNNNNNNNNNNNNNNNNNNNNNNNNNNNNNNNNNNNNNNNNNNNNNNNNNNNNNNNNNNNNNNNNNNNNNNNNNNNNNNNNNNNNNNNNNNNNNNNNNNNNNNNNNNNNNNNNNNNNNNNNNNNNNNNNNNNNNNNNNNNNNNNNNNNNNNNNNNNNNNNNNNNNNNNNNNNNNNNNNNNNNNNNNNNNNNNNNNNNNNNNNNNNNNNNNNNNNNNNNNNNNNNNNNNNNNNNNNNNNNNNNNNNNNNNNNNNNNNNNNNNNNNNNNNNNNNNNAUAUAAUUUUAGAAAUUAAUUUUGUAAAGAUAACUUUUAUUUUAGAACUAUAAAUAAAAUAUAAAAUUAUAUAAAAUCAAACUUUAAUUUUUUUUUAAAUAAUUAACAUUUUGUUUAAUAAUUUUAGAAAUUCUCAUUCAUAGAUUUUAAACUAUGAUUUUGCUAUCCAUUUCAUCAUAAAGAAAUAAUUAAGUACAAUUAAACACCCGCUCUCCUGAAUGUAUUUUUUUUACUGUGUGUCUGGCUUACUGUUUAGGACAAUUAUUUUUCAUAUCUUAUUGGUAAUAUGAUUUUUGGUGAUAAAGUUUACUUGUCAGUAGGUAUCAAACAAGAAAAGGCUAAGGGUUUGAUGAUAAUGGGAUCGCUCCCGGUUCGGUUCCUAACCUUUAUCCACCAUCCCUCAAGCAUAUGAAGUUGUCAUGGAGGAUGGAAAGUUUUUCUACAAGCAAUCAGGAGAACUCCUAACACCAUUGCAACAUACGAGAUCAAUUUGAUUCAAACUAAGAGACAAUGAUCAAGUACAAGAUAAAGAAUCCUUUAAUUUGCUUUGUUCUUAUUGUAAUUAUUAGUAUUAGAAACAUCCAGACUUUAGUUAUCACUAUGUUUGAGUAAUCAGAUAUUUGAAUUUUAUAGUAUGUGAACUUUAUGUGUGAAAUUAUUAAUCUGAGUUUCUUGGGUUUUGUGGCAA